UUUUUUUUUAAUUCAUUGACUUACAUGACAGAGUGACAAGGAGAGAGGUAGAGACAGAAACAGAAACCUUCCACCCUCUGGUUCACUCCCCAAAUUCCCAGAAGAGCUGAGGUUGGUUCAGCCCAAAGUCAGGAUCCCAGGACUCCAUCUGGUUCUCCCACAUGGGUGGCAGGUGAGCAGGUUCUUAGGCCAACAUCUGCCACCUUCCCAGGCACAUUAGCAGAGAGCUGGAUCAGAAGCAGAGAUGUGGUGACUUGAAUUGGCACUCUGAAGCCAACCCCUGCAAUUCUUUUCUGUUAUCCAUCUUUAAAUUAGAUGUGUUUUCCUGUAUUUUUAGUCAGAGAAGUAUUUUGUGUUUAAUAUUUCUGUAGGAGGUGGGGGCCAACGAGCAUAGCUGUCUCAUCUUCACUUCUGCAGUUCCUUUGCUGUUAUUACUACCAAGAAACCAAAACUAUGGCCUCCGUGUAUACCCACUCCCGCAGUCCUCGGUGGCUAAAACUGUUCUCUCCCUUGCUCUCAGUGAAGGAACACUUUCUGCCCCUUAGGAUGCGCUUACUUUCUGCUCCACUCCUAGCUGCCUUUCCAAUGAAAUGUAUUUCUGUCCAUACUGUAUGGAGUUUUCCAGGGUAUUUCCGAAGUCCUUAAGGAAUGAGGCUGCCUCAGGACUUGCUGAUCUUCCUAACCCCCCUCAGAAAAUUCUUCCUAACCCCCUCAGAGAGUUUGCGUGUACUCUUUUUUUUUUUUUUAAGAUUUUUAAAUUUAUUUGACAGGCAGAGUUACAGAGAGAAGUAGAGACAGAGAGAGAAGUCUUCUAUCCACUGGUUCACUCCCCAGAUGGCUGCAACAGCUGGAGCUGUGCCAAUCUGAAGCCAGGAGCCAGGAGCUUCUUCUGGGUCUCCCACAUGGGUGCAGAGGCCCAAGGCCUUGGGUCAUCUUCUACUGCUUUCCCAGGCCGUAGCAGAGAGCAGGAUGGAAAGAGGAGCAGCCGGGACUAGAACCGGCGCCCAUAUAGGAUGCCGGCGCUUCAGGCCAGGGCGUUAACCUGCUGAGCCAGUUUCGGCCCCUUGCACGCACUCUUUCUGCCAGCCACAUAUUGGAUCCGACUUCCAAUGUCACUGAUGCUUUCAGAUUUGCUUUCUGAGAAUUCUGCUCAGACUUAGGUCUCCUCUUGGAUCACUCAAGAAUUUGGGGAAAAUUUUCUGUGAUGGGGCUCUUUGGGCAUCAGAAUUCCCCUGUCACUUCCAUCUGCGACUCCUUCACAGCCUUUAAACCUCAAUUAGUUUUGCAGGAUCUUGCUUUUUUGAGACCGUGUUUCCUGACCCACUGGAGUCCUGGGUUUCAUGGGAUGUGUUCCCAGGUGUAUGUAUUCAGGAUGUCUCAUAUUUUUCUUCUUCCCUCCUACUUGCUCUCUCUCAUAUGAAGGCAUUUGAAGAUUCAAAAACUCCAUGGCUAUCUUGAUCUUGCUAGUUCUACCAGUGAGUAUCCCUUAUUCAAAACGCUUGUGACCUGAAGUAUUUCAGAUUUCAUUUUUCAAAAACUGUUUUUCUCAGAUUUUAUAAUAUUUGCCUAUAUAUAAUGAGAUAUCUUAGCUAUAAGAUCCAAAUCUAAACAUGAAAUUCACUUGUGUUUUAUAAAUGGCUCAUGCAGAUAUGAGCCUGAAUGUAACAUUUAUAAUAAUUUUGUCACUGAAACAAUGUUUGGGUACCUGAACUACAUUUUGACUGUAACCUUUCAAAUGAGAUCAGGGUGGAGUUUUCCAUUUAUGGCCAUAAUGUCAGCACACAAAAAGUUUCAGUUUUUCAGGAAUUUAGAUUCCUGAAAUAACAUGGUAAAGGUAAUUCCAAGAGAAUUCUAGAAAUUUGGGCUUAAAUAACUCAUUGAGAAAAGCGUUUUGGAAUUUAGCAAACACUGUGAUCAUUAUAUAUGUAUAUUCUACUAAGCAGUAUAUAAUUAUCUUGUUUUAUGUUCCUGUAGCAUUUUAUCUUAUUUUAGAAAUGUAAUUGUAAUGCAUUAUCUUCCUUCUUGUCUCUGUAUGUCUUCUAGUCACUAUAUUAUUUCUACUAACAAUCAGAACAUAUUUUAAAUCAAAACAGCUGCAUUAUUUUAAAUCUUUUACUUUGUCUUUGAAUGCUUUCUAUAACUUCUAUAUAUCAUAAAUAUCCCAGGGUAAGCCAAUCCUAGCACUGAGACCCUAAAGCCAUGUUGACUGGCGUUGUUAUAAAUCUAUAAUUUGUCCUGUCAAAUAUCUAUGAUCAUAGUUUUUCAGAGUCAUCUUAAAGCAAUGUAAACAUUUUCACAUGCUAGGUAACUUUUUGUCACCUUUUAUGAUUUUUAUGUAACUCUGUCUUGUCCACUGAUUUUGCAAUUUUUUCAAAUUGUGACUCUAGACAGUGAUAGAUAUCCUUUAUGAUUAUAAUGGUAUCAGGAUGUUCAUUUUCAACACUGUAUUUCAGAAGCAUUUACUAUAUUAUUGAUUACUUCAUCUGCAUUUUUUAUUUGAAAGAUGGAGUUAGACAGUGAGAGGGAGAGACUGAGAGAAAGGUCUUCCCUCCAUUGGUUCACCCCCCAAAAUGGCCGCUACAGCCGGUGCUGUGCCAAUCCGAAGCCAGGAGCCAGAUGCUUCCUCCUGGUCUCCCAUGGGGUGCAGGAGCCCAAGCACUUGGCCAUCCUCCACUGCCCUCCCUGGCCACAGCAGAGAGCUGGACUGGAAGAAGAGCAACCGGGACUAGCCCAUAUGGUAUGCCGGCACCUCAGGUGGAGGAUUAACCUAGUGAGCCAGGGCGCUGGCUCAUUUGUAUUUUAAAGACAGAGAGGGAAGAGUGAAAGGCAGAAUGAGUUCUUAUCUGCUGGUUCAUACUUCACAUCUGCAAUGGCCUGGGGCCAAAGUCAGGAGCCAGUACCUUAAUGCUAGUGUCCCACAUGGGUACAAGGGGCUUGACUGUUUUAAUCAUCACCAUUUCUUCCCAGUGACCACAUAGCAGGAAUCAGAAGGUGGAGGUGGGACUAGAACACAGGUACUUCUGGCACUGGCACAGAAUCCAAGUGCUCCCAUGUAGGACAAGAGCAUUCUAACCAGAGUCUUAUCCAGUGAGACAAAAACUCACUCUGUGUUUAUUUUUUGAAAUGUAAUUAUAAAGUUAUUUUUCAUUCAGUUUCCUUAUCCUGCUUUUCACUCCAGCUAAUCCAGAACCAGGGGCUUUUUCUGGGUCUCCCACAUGGGUGCAGGGGCCCAAGCACUUGGGUCAUCUUCUGCUACUUUCCCAGGCCAUUAGCAGGGAGCUGGAUCAGAAGUGGAGCAGCCAGGACUUGAACCAGCAUCCAUAUGGCCUAGAGUGUGAGACAGAAGUUUCGAAUUCCCUGAGAAGAGCAAGGAAUCUGUUGAGAUGAUAUAAAUAUCUUUCAUAUCUAAUGUGGUGGUGGUUAUAGGUAUUUGUAUCUGUCAAAAGUUAUCUCACUGUACUCUUCAGAUGGAAGCAGUUUAUAUAUAAACUUAACAACCUCUUUCCAGAGGGUUAACUCUGUUCAUCACUUUGUUGAUGUUUAUGACACUGAUGCUGUGUAUUUUAAUUUUAUAUAUCUAAUAACCUAAUGGCAUAUACCUAUUAUGUGAUAGGACCUAGUCAUUUAGAUUUACCCAAAUGCUUGAUUAGAAGAAACUCAUUUCUAUUGUCUCUCCUUCCUUCCCUUCAUUCCUUCUACUUCCUGGCUUUUGCUGUGGUGGUUGAAUUACCUCAAGUUUGUUUCUUUUACUUUCAGUUGUUACUCGACUCCCUGCAUCCUCCCUGAGGAAAGAUGGCUUUCCCUUGACCUUGAUGUGGAGUAAAGCCGAACCUAUUCCCAGAUGUUGGGGUCCACGCAUCAGGCAGCUGAAUAAAUGCCACCUCAAAGCCUUUACCUAUGAACUCUACCGAACAUUACAACAUCACAGAAUUCAGAACUCAUUUCAGGUCUUCCACACAGGUGGCAGGGACAACUAAUCGAGCCACCAUUACCUCUGCCUCACAGGGUGUGCACUAACAGGAAACUGAAAUCUGAAGUGGAGCUGGGACUCAAGUUCAGUCACUCUCACAUGGGAUGCAGGCAUCCUAAGCAGCGUCUUCACUGCUGUGCCAAAUGCUCACUUCUGGAAUAAAGUUUUUGAAGCACUAUCUUAACAGUCAAAUGGAGCCACAGAAGCCACUGCCUACCAAUGGAAUCUUGAGCAAGAACAAUGCUGGAGGAGGCAUCUCCAGGGAGAGGACAGACACAGGUUCAAGAAGUCCAUUCUGCAGGUGGCUGAAUAUGUGCCCUUUGUAUGAACGUUGCCUUAGAGUUACAGAGAGAGGUAGAGACAGAGAGAGAGGUCUUCCAUCUGAUGGUUCACUCCCCAGAGGGCCACAACAGCCGGAGCUGAGCUGAUUCAAAGCCAGGAGUCAGAGCUUCUUCCAGGUCUCCCACCUACGAGUGGCAGCAGAAUACUAUGUCCCUGUAUACCAAAACAAGACAGCCUGGAGCGCCAGCCCCUGCAGUGGCGCCUUCCCAAAGCCUCAGUGCCACGCAAGGAACAUCUUGAGUUUGUCUCAGUUGUUGGGCUCAUUUUACAAACUAUAGCUAGGGUCUGCGUUGGCUGGAAGCUGGAGUGAGGAGCAGAGCCAGGAAUUGAACCCAAGCAUUCUGAUGUGGUGUGAAACUGGUGACAGG
Molecule: non-coding RNA, 4680 nt
Organism: Oryctolagus cuniculus (rabbit)
Lineage: Eukaryota; Metazoa; Chordata; Mammalia; Lagomorpha; Leporidae
Source: RefSeq, a predicted model, not a curated record